RNAcentral lists this ribosomal RNA (527 nucleotides) under uncultured bacterium. RNAcentral's name for it is "bacterial SSU rRNA". It matches the Rfam family "Archaeal small subunit ribosomal RNA", at positions 723 to 1257 of the family's 1478-position model. The record is from RNAcentral.
ACUAAAUAGAUACCCGGGUAGUCCCAGCUGUAAACGAUGCAGACUAGGUGUUUGGACGGCCACGUGCCGUUCUAGUGCCGCAGGGAAGCUGUUAAGUCUGCCGCCUGGGGAGUACGAUCGCAAGAUUGAAACUUAAAGGAAUUGGCGGGGGAGCACCACAAGGGGUGAAGCUUGCGGUUUAAUUGGAGUCAACGCCGGAAAUCUCACCGGGAGCGACAGCAGUAUGAAAGCCAGAUUGAAGGUCUUGCUAGACGAGCUGAGAGGAGGUGCAUGGCCGUCGCCAGUUCGUGCCGUGAGGUGUCCUGUUAAGUCAGGCAACGAUCGAGACCCGCGUCCUCUGUUGCAACCAGCUUUGUGCUGGGCACACUGAGGAGACCGCCACUGAUAAAGUGGAGGAAGGAGCGGGCCACGGCAGGUCAGUAUGCCCCGAAUCUCCCGGGCCACACGCGAGCUGCAAUGGCAAGUACAAUGGGUUCCGACCUCGAAAGGGGGAGGCAAUCUCGAAAGCUUGCCGUAGUUGGAAUUGA